Molecule: long non-coding RNA, 680 nt
Filed under: Bos grunniens (domestic yak)
Lineage: Eukaryota; Metazoa; Chordata; Mammalia; Artiodactyla; Bovidae
Description: lncRNA (ENSBGRG00000008045.1)
Source: RNAcentral
GGUGAUACAGAUUUUCCCGGGUUUUCUGACCAGUGAGGAAAGUGAUCCUAGAGAGAGAUCAGUACGAGCGCCACCUCUAGUCCCAAUGGGAACAGCAGGAGACUCUCCAAGGUAGAUUCCUAGGCCCACCCACACUCUCCCACCCUGGACACUUCUUGGACCUGCUCUGGACCUGUGGCCCUGUGGUCUCAGCCUGCUCGCGUUCACCUGAGAAAGGGGCCCGUUUUCAAAAUCAUGGCUACUUCUCUAAAUCAGCAGACAGCAGCCUGAAGAUCACCCGUAAAUGUCUGCUGCACUGAGGGCUGUUUUGGCUAAUGGAAAAAGGACACCAAGUUGAAGAUCCAUCCAGCCUUUCUGCUUUCAGUGUCCUUGGAGCCAUCAGCAGCUGUGUCCCCCACAAAGCCCUGACACUACUCUGUGUGGUACUACUGAGCCUCCUUAAUGUCCCUCCUUGCUGUGAAAUCUUAGUGCUUCAGCCUCUUCUUGAUGGGUAUCUCACCUUGCCCUUGAAGGAGAGCUUUGCUCAGAAAAUAGAGUCCUGGGAGACCCCAGAGACUGUUCCCAGCAGGAUGUCCAUCCCAUCAGCUGAGAGUCCUCAUGGUCAGUCUCAUGGACCUGUCACUGAGGGCUGUUUUGGCUAAUGGAAAAGGACACCAAGUUGAAGAUCCAUCCAGGUGUGA